AGAGUUUGAUCAUGGCUCAGAACGAACGCUGGCGGCAUGCCUAACACAUGCAAGUCGAACGAGAAGCUAUCUUCGGAUAGUGGAAAGUGGCGCACGGGUGAGUAACGCGUGGGAACCUGCCCUGAGGUUCGGAAUAACGAUUGGAAACGAUCGCUAAUACCGGAUGAGCCCUGAGGGGGAAAGAUUUAUCGCCUUGGGAGGGGCCCGCGUCCGAUUAGCUUGUUGGUGUGGUAACGGCGCACCAAGGCUUCGAUCGGUAGCUGGUCUGAGAGGAUGAUCAGCCACACUGGGACUGAGACACGGCCCAGACUCCUACGGGAGGCAGCAGUGGGGAAUAUUGGACAAUGGGGGCAACCCUGAUCCAGCAAUGCCGCGUGUGUGAAGAAGGCCUUAGGGUUGUAAAGCACUUUCAGUCGUGACGAUGAUGACG
This 430-nucleotide ribosomal RNA is filed under the name uncultured bacterium. RNAcentral's name for it is "bacterial SSU rRNA". It matches the Rfam family "Bacterial small subunit ribosomal RNA", at positions 8 to 456 of the family's 1533-position model. The record is from RNAcentral.